GUUGGUAUUGAUUGCGACGAGGGUCCACCUGUUCCCAUCCCGAACACAGAAGUUAAGCUCGUUAGCGCCGACAAUACUUGGCGGGUGACUGCCCGGGAAGAUAGGUAAUGCCAACA
RNAcentral lists this ribosomal RNA (116 nucleotides) under Oscillospiraceae bacterium. The record is from RNAcentral. Lineage: Bacteria; Bacillati; Bacillota; Clostridia; Eubacteriales; Oscillospiraceae.